AACGAACGCUGGCGGCAUGCCUAACACAUGCAAGUCGAACGAGACCUUCGGGUCUAGUGGCGCACGGGUGCGUAACGCGUGGGAACCUGCCUUUAGGUUCGGAAUAACAGUGAGAAAUUACUGCUAAUACCGGAUGAUGUCUUCGGACCAAAGAUUUAUCGCCUUUAGAUGGGCCCGCGUUGGAUUAGCUAGUUGGUGGGGUAAAGGCCUACCAAGGCGACGAUCCAUAGCUGGUCUGAGAGGAUGAUCAGCCACACUGGGACUGAGACACGGCCCAGACUCCUACGGGAGGCAGCAGUGGGGAAUAUUGGACAAUGGGCGAAAGCCUGAUCCAGCAAUGCCGCGUGAGUGAUGAA
RNAcentral lists this ribosomal RNA (356 nucleotides) under uncultured bacterium. Its description in RNAcentral is "bacterial SSU rRNA". It matches the Rfam family "Bacterial small subunit ribosomal RNA", at positions 29 to 412 of the family's 1533-position model. The record is from RNAcentral.